GCCUCCAUAGCUCAGGCGGUAGAGCGCAUUCUUGGUAAGAAUGAGGUCAUGGGUUCGAGUCCCAUUGGAGGCU
RNAcentral lists this transfer RNA (73 nucleotides) under bacterium. RNAcentral's name for it is "tRNA-Thr". It matches the Rfam family "tRNA". Rfam says of the family: Transfer RNA (tRNA) molecules are approximately 80 nucleotides in length. Their secondary structure includes four short double-helical elements and three loops (D, anti-codon, and T loops). RNAcentral also lists the same sequence under 5 other names. The record is from RNAcentral.